This 75-nucleotide transfer RNA is filed under the name Sitta nagaensis (chestnut-vented nuthatch). Its description in RNAcentral is "tRNA-Glu". Lineage: Eukaryota; Metazoa; Chordata; Aves; Passeriformes; Sittidae. The record is from RNAcentral.
UCAGUUCCUAUAGUUAAAGUCCUAUAACGAUGGCUUUUCAGGUCAUUGAUCCUGGAGAGAGACCAGGUGGGAACU